Molecule: small nucleolar RNA, 149 nt
Filed under: Botrytis cinerea B05.10
Lineage: Eukaryota; Fungi; Ascomycota; Leotiomycetes; Helotiales; Sclerotiniaceae
Description: small nucleolar RNA snR32
Rfam family: Small nucleolar RNA snR32 (bases 36-149)
Source: RNAcentral
AACAUUACUUAAACGGCACUCGAUUUCUUCAAUAAAACGAGAUGUUUUCGCGCUGUGCGAAGAAUACUUAUAACCCGUUGCUGGGCGCCUGACUUUGAGAUGUCGUUUAGACUUUUCUGAAAGGUUGGGAAUCAGCUGAGGCUACAUUC